This 253-nucleotide ribosomal RNA is filed under the name uncultured bacterium. Its description in RNAcentral is "partial 16S ribosomal RNA". It matches the Rfam family "Bacterial small subunit ribosomal RNA", at positions 524 to 776 of the family's 1533-position model. The record is from RNAcentral.
UACGUAGGGGGCAAGCGUUGUCCGGAAUCAUUGGGCGUAAAGCGCGCGUAGGCGGGUCGUUAAGUCCGCUGUGAAAGCCCGGGGCUCAACCCCGGGAGGCGGGUGGAUACUGUCGACCUCGAGUCCGGAAGAGGCGAGUGGAAUUCCUGGUGUAGCGGUGAAAUGCGCAGAUAUCAGGAGGAACACCAAUGGCGAAGGCAGCUCGCUGGGACGGUACUGACGCUGAGACGCGAAAGCGUGGGGAGCAAACAGG